AGUGAACGCUGGCGGUAGGCCUAACACAUGCAAGUCGAACGGCAGCACAGUAAGAGCUUGCUCUUACGGGUGGCGAGUGGCGGACGGGUGAGGAAUACAUCGGAAUCUACUUUUUCGUGGGGGAUAACGUAGGGAAACUUACGCUAAUACCGCAUACGACCUACGGGUGAAAGCAGGGGAUCUUCGGACCUUGCGCGAUUGAAUGAGCCGAUGUCGGAUUAGCUAGUUGGCGGGGUAAAGGCCCACCAAGGCGACGAUCCGUAGCUGGUCUGAGAGGAUGAUCAGCCACACUGGAACUGAGACACGGUCCAGACUCCUACGGGAGGCAGCAGUGGGGAAUAUUGGACAAUGGGGGCAAGCCUGAUCCAGCCAUACCGCGUGGGUGAAGAAGGCCUUCGGGUUGUAAAGCCCUUUUGUUGGGAAAGAAAAGCAGCAGGUUAAUACCCCGCUGUUCUGACGGUACCCAAAGAACAAGCACCGGCUAACUUCGUG
RNAcentral lists this ribosomal RNA (492 nucleotides) under uncultured bacterium. Its description in RNAcentral is "partial 16S ribosomal RNA". It matches the Rfam family "Bacterial small subunit ribosomal RNA", at positions 29 to 507 of the family's 1533-position model. The record is from RNAcentral.